AGGGGAUUAUUGGACAUUGGGCGCAAGCCUGAUCCAGCCAUCCCGCGUGAGUGAUGAAUGCCCUAGGGUUGUAAAGCUCUUUCACCGGUGAAGAUAAUUACGGUAACCGGAGAAGAAGCCCCGGCUAACUUCGUGCCAGCAGCCGCGGUAAUACGAAGGGUGCUAGCGUUGUUCGGAUUUACUGGGCGUAAAGCGCACGUAGGCGGACUUUUAAGUCAGGGGUGAAAUCCCGGGGCUCAACCCCGGAACUGCCUUUGAUACUGGAAGUCUUGAGUAUGGUAGAGGUGGGUGGAAUUCCGAGGGUAGAGGUGAAAUUCGUAGGUAUUCGGAGGGACACCAGUGGCGAAGGCGGCUCACUGGACCAUUACUGGCGCUGAAGUGCGAAAGCGUGGGGGGCAGACAGG
Molecule: ribosomal RNA, 404 nt
Filed under: Actinomycetes bacterium
Lineage: Bacteria; Bacillati; Actinomycetota; Actinomycetes
Description: Actinobacteria bacterium partial 16S ribosomal RNA
Rfam family: Bacterial small subunit ribosomal RNA
Source: RNAcentral